AUACGUAGGGGGCGAGCGUUAUCCGGAUUUAUUGGGCGUAAAGCGUGUGUAGGCGGUUUGUUAAGUUUAAGAUUAAAGCCCGAGGCUUAACCUCGGUUCGUCUUAAAAACUGGCAGACUUGAGUGCAGUAGAGGCAAGUGGAAUUUCUAGUGUAGCGGUUAAAUGCGUAGAUAUUAGAAGGAACACCAGUGGCGAAGGCGGCUUGCGGGCCUGUUACUGACGCUGAGACACGAAAGCGUGGGGAUCGACCAGGAUUAGAUACCCUGGUAGUCCACGCCGUAAACGAUGGGCGCUCGUCGUCGGCGGCAGACAGUCGGCGGCCAAGCGAAAGCGAUAAGCGCCCCACCUGGGGAGUACGGUCGCAAGGCUGAAACUCAAAUGAAUUGGCGGGG
This 392-nucleotide ribosomal RNA is filed under the name uncultured bacterium. Its description in RNAcentral is "partial 16S ribosomal RNA". It matches the Rfam family "Bacterial small subunit ribosomal RNA", at positions 523 to 918 of the family's 1533-position model. The record is from RNAcentral.